Poecilia latipinna (sailfin molly) is the source of this 1054-nucleotide long non-coding RNA. RefSeq lists it as uncharacterized. The transcript has 3 exons. The record is from RefSeq and is a predicted model, not a curated record. Lineage: Eukaryota; Metazoa; Chordata; Actinopteri; Cyprinodontiformes; Poeciliidae.
UUAUUUGUUUUUUUGGAGUUCAAAGCUUAGCAACAAAAUCCCACUUCUGCCAGCUGCCACUCACAGAAUAUGUUUUCAUUAGGAACGGGCCCCUUUCAUCAAAGACAUUGGUUUGAGCGUGCUUGAAAAGGAAAUGAACUGCCUCUGAGACUGUACGACUCUGGUCAUAUGGAAGCUCAGACAGAGUUCCAUGUGUACAUGAGUACAAUUAGCAAAACGGGGAAAAAAAACAGCUGAGCCUUGGAUGUUUUCCCCUCAUAUGUUUUUGUUAAUGUGAUUGUGGGCGUUCAGAGGUUUUACAAUAGUUACAGUGUCAUAAGCAGAUUAUUUUUGUUUACAAAAGCCUUGAUGUAGCCAGAAAUAAUAUAGACGCUGACAUCAAUGCAAGGGCAUUUCAUUCGCUUCUCGUUAUGAUCUGUGUGCAAAACGGAGCUGUCUUAUCAUGUAGGAGUUGGCAAAAACAAACUGGUUCGACACUUUUCAGCCCUCACCAUUGGCUUUUUACGUCUAGUUCGUAGGAAAUCAAAGACUUGGCAGUGUUUAAUGACUUGACUCUCUAUUUGACGCUUCAUUUAUUCAUUUUAGGGAAACCUCCAGAUUCAUCAGGUGCACGUCGGCCAGGACGGACAGGUACUUCGUGGAGCUCAGUUGAUAGCCGUUGCUUCAGCCGAUGGAGGAGCCACGGCAGUAGAGGGGUCUGCCCUCCCACCUGACAUCCAAGUGCAGUACGUGCAGCUAGCUCCUGUUUCAGAUCACGCAGCGGCUGUGCAGGCUGCUGAACUGGCACCGGCGUUGCAGGCUGAGAUGGAGGUGAAAGAAGCCAUCCAGGGUGCCAUCCACGGAGACAAUGGCGAGGUUGUCCAGAUUGUCAGCUCUGUGGCCACCUGAGAUCUCAUUUGAUACAUCGCAGACCUGAACUCUGCCAUGCAGCAUGGCCCAGUGUGUCUCUGUGGAAAAGUUUGACAAGCAAUCAAGCUAGAAAGUUUCUUAAGGUCACUGAUGAAACAGAGAGAGAGAAUUAUUUCUUUUCUUUUUCUUUGCAAACUGCUGGAUU